Rattus norvegicus (Norway rat) is the source of this 69-nucleotide non-coding RNA. NCBI's taxonomy places the organism in Eukaryota, Metazoa, Chordata, Mammalia, Rodentia, Muridae. The record is from Rfam.
GGGGAUUUAGCUCAGUGGUAGAGCGCUUGCCUAGGAAGCGCAAGGCCCUGGGUUCGAUUCCCAGCUCCG